AAUAUUUUAUGCGGGAGCUUGUGGAAGCGAGCUGAGAGUACGACUAAUCCGUCGUAGACCGGUUGAACCUGUUGGGUAAUGCCAGCGUAGGGAGUGGAAAUAGGAGUAUU
RNAcentral lists this non-coding RNA (110 nucleotides) under Desulforamulus ferrireducens. Its description in RNAcentral is "Desulfotomaculum ferrireducens TPP sequence". It matches the Rfam family "TPP riboswitch aptamer (THI element)". From Rfam's summary of the family: Vitamin B(1) in its active form thiamin pyrophosphate (TPP) is an essential coenzyme that is synthesised by coupling of pyrimidine and thiazole moieties in bacteria. The record is from Rfam by way of RNAcentral. Lineage: Bacteria; Bacillati; Bacillota; Clostridia; Eubacteriales; Peptococcaceae.